GAUGAACGCUGGCGGCGUGCCUAAUACAUGCAAGUCGAGCGGACAGACGAGGAGCUUGCUCCUCUGACGUUAGCGGCGGACGGGUGAGUAACACGUGGAUAACCUACCUAUAAGACUGGGAUAACUUCGGGAAACCGGAGCUAAUACCGGAUAAUAUAUUGAACCGCAUGGUUCAAUAGUGAAAGACGGUUUUGCUGUCACUUAUAGAUGGAUCCGCGCCGCAUUAGCUAGUUGGUAAGGUAACGGCUUACCAAGGCAACGAUGCGUAGACGACCUGACAGGGUGAUCGGCCACACGGGAACGGAGACACGGUCAAGACUCCUACGGGAGGCAGCAGUAGGGAAGCUUCCGCAAUGGGCGAAAGCUUGACGGAGCAACGCCGCGUGAGUGAUGAAGGUCUUCGGAUCGUAAAACUCUGUUAUUAGGGAAGAACAAAUGUGUAAGUAACUAUGCACGUCUUGACGGUACCUAAUCAGAAAGCCACGGCUAACUACGUG
RNAcentral lists this ribosomal RNA (497 nucleotides) under uncultured bacterium. RNAcentral's name for it is "partial 16S ribosomal RNA". It matches the Rfam family "Bacterial small subunit ribosomal RNA", at positions 28 to 507 of the family's 1533-position model. The record is from RNAcentral.